AUGUUUCGUGUCCUGAAAAAGCUACCGAGCGACCCACUAGUUAGUUCUCUCUCUCCCCCCUCUCACCUAACUUCUUCGAGAAAAACCCAGGAGCAGGGGCGCGUACGGCAGCGCCGCCGCCGCCGCCAUAUCCUUCUCGUCCUCAUCCGGCCUCCAGAGACCCGGAGCCCGCAGAUCCGGCAACCUCGCGCCUGGAUCUUGCAGCUCGGGCCGUGCUCCUCCCUCUCCUCCCCGGCAUAG
RNAcentral lists this ribosomal RNA (240 nucleotides) under Triticum aestivum (bread wheat). RNAcentral describes it as "partial small subunit ribosomal RNA". Lineage: Eukaryota; Viridiplantae; Streptophyta; Magnoliopsida; Poales; Poaceae. The record is from RNAcentral.